RNAcentral lists this long non-coding RNA (211 nucleotides) under Prunus persica (peach). Its description in RNAcentral is "long non-coding RNA (PPER_LNC000565)". Lineage: Eukaryota; Viridiplantae; Streptophyta; Magnoliopsida; Rosales; Rosaceae. The record is from RNAcentral.
CAGCUUGUACGCAUUAGCAGCCAUCUCUUCCUUGGAUGCCUCCAUGGCUUCCACAUGGGUAUCAAACUUGACCAGCAGUUUGUCACGAUCCUGGGCCAAAGCAGCAUGCUUACGUUCGAGGCAGAAGUAGGCUUCCUUGCGUUCGAGCAGGGCAGCCAUAAGAGACUUGAGUUCACCAUCCUUUUGGCCAACAGAACUCUUGAGCACGGAC